UCAGCAUCUCAGCCUUUUGGCUAAGAUCAAGAAUUUUUGGCACUAAGGGGAGGGUGUCAGGGCUGCCUCUGGCCCUCCUGGUUCUGGCCUGGUAUUGCAGUACCUCUAGGCCUGGUGCCAGUUCC
RNAcentral lists this small nuclear RNA (125 nucleotides) under Alligator mississippiensis (American alligator). RNAcentral's name for it is "U2 spliceosomal RNA". It matches the Rfam family "U2 spliceosomal RNA". From Rfam's summary of the family: U2 is a small nuclear RNA (snRNA) component of the spliceosome (involved in pre-mRNA splicing). Complementary binding between U2 snRNA (in an area lying towards the 5' end but 3' to hairpin I) and the branchpoint sequence (BPS) of the intron results the bulging out of an unpaired adenosine, on the BPS, which initiates a nucleophilic attack at the intronic 5' splice site, thus starting the first of two transesterification reactions that mediate splicing. RNAcentral also lists the same sequence under 1 other name. The record is from Rfam by way of RNAcentral. Lineage: Eukaryota; Metazoa; Chordata; Crocodylia; Alligatoridae.